AUAAAUAGCAGCCAUUCCUCUUUGUGAAGCAAAAUGUCGUGAUUUUUUAUCUCUUCCUCUUUGUGAGUAAGCAGCUAUAUUCUCCUCCUCUUUGUGAGAUAUUAUCCUUUGUGGGUUAUACAUGUACUUGGGUAAACUUAGUAUAUAUUUUUUAGGUCGAGCUUUGGAUUUUGGAGGAUUUUUAUGGUGUAGAUAUUGGAUUUAUAAACUGAUCCCCUUUAUGUACAUCAAUUGAAAGCUAAUGGCAAGUACUUUCAUCACAAAUUGGUAUCAGAGAUUGGUAUGUACAAAAAGUGUUGAAAUCAAUAGAACCAACCCUGCAAAUCCAUUUUUUAGUCAAACUAGACCCAUGGUGAACGACGGACACCAUGUUCCAACUCUAAAUGAUGAGGCAGAGCUGCAUGGCAGGUGCAUAGAGUAGUAGAGGCAACAGCAUGUACAUCACAUUACCAAAGACUGAGGCGGCACGUGGCGAUGAUUCCGACGAAGAUCUUUGAAGCCAGCUUGUUCUUGUCUGUAUUCCAGACCUACUAGUGGUGUUACUCUUGUGUUUCGUGUAGUUUGCUAGAAUCUUUAUAAUUUUUCCUUUGUGUAUUCGGUUGUCAGGUGCCUUUUUGUUUUCUGUAGUUGCUGAAAGUUUUAGGGCAAAUAGUGGUGGCCCCUUACUAUAAUUUUUUUUUUAUCUCCCAUUUAUUUACAGUUUGACAGAUUAGUCCAAUGGAUAAAUUGGUCUAUCUAUUUUACCUUCCUAUACUAGCAGGCCAUCGUGUUGGAUGAUCUUUAGGUUUGAAGUUACCAUGUGGGGUAAUCAUUACACGUUGCUAAAACUUAGGAAUUAUUUACCCUAUUUUUACAUGUUUGAAGUGUUGAAAAUUGUUAAUUUUUAUUGCUUAAAAUUGCUGAUUGAUUUUGUAAUAUAAUUGUUGGGUGAGUUACAUCAUGAGACUUGCAGUUAGUAAGAAAAUUUUGUUUUUGUUGGUAUAUCUCUAUUGUUGCAAUCACUGGAUUACUUUGUGUGAUUUAUUUGAGAUAAUUGUGUACUUGUGCAUUUUAGUUGAUAUGUGUCCUAAAAAUGACAUUUCACAAUUUUGAUUUGAG
RNAcentral lists this long non-coding RNA (1098 nucleotides) under Olea europaea subsp. europaea. The record is from RNAcentral. Lineage: Eukaryota; Viridiplantae; Streptophyta; Magnoliopsida; Lamiales; Oleaceae.